UCAGCAGCAGCACCACGUGCUUGAGGAGAAUGACCGAGUCAUAGAGCGCCAGGAAGAGGCAGUUGGAGAAAAAAACUGGCAGAAUCUGCAGUGUGAUCAGCAAGUCUACGCUGAGGAUGCCCAUCUUCUCUGCCUCCCGGCUUGAGAGCAGCAUGUACUACCAUUCACUGGCUCCUUCUGGUUGGAAAAGCAAGCCUCUGAGUUAUAAGGCUUCCUUUGGUCUACUUUUUGACUCUUAAGUUGAGAUUAAGAGAAUGAAGUUGGAUAACCUAAAAGCAAACCCGGAGAUUUCAAGGAUGGAAGCUACCCCUACUCUUUGUUGUCUGAAGACACCAAAGGGCAUUCAAGAAUCUAUGGAAUUCAUGCUGUGGAUUUUCAAGCAGUCUCAGUUUCAUAAAAUGUUAUUCCUUCUAACUCAAGUGAUUUGCUAAAGUAAAUUUUAAAUGGAGAUUAAAUUUUACUUUCAUAAAAAAAA
This is a long non-coding RNA of Bubalus bubalis (water buffalo), 475 nucleotides long. RefSeq lists it as uncharacterized. The transcript has 2 exons. The record is from RefSeq and is a predicted model, not a curated record. NCBI's taxonomy places the organism in Eukaryota, Metazoa, Chordata, Mammalia, Artiodactyla, Bovidae.